Molecule: ribosomal RNA, 253 nt
Filed under: uncultured bacterium
Lineage: Bacteria
Description: partial 16S ribosomal RNA
Rfam family: Bacterial small subunit ribosomal RNA
Source: RNAcentral
UACGGAGGGUGCAAGCGUUAUCCGGAUUCACUGGGUUUAAAGGGUGCGUAGGUGGGUUGGUAAGUCAGUGGUGAAAUCCCCGAGCUUAACUUGGGAACUGCCAUUGAUACUAUCAGUCUUGAAUAUUGUGGAGGUUAGCGGAAUAUGUCAUGUAGCGGUGAAAUGCUUAGAUAUGACAUAGAACAUCAAUUGCGAAGGCAGCUGGCUACGCAUAUAUUGACACUGAGGCACGAAAGCGUGGGGAUCAAACAGG